This 305-nucleotide ribosomal RNA is filed under the name uncultured bacterium. Its description in RNAcentral is "bacterial SSU rRNA". It matches the Rfam family "Bacterial small subunit ribosomal RNA", at positions 332 to 655 of the family's 1533-position model. The record is from RNAcentral.
UUGACCUACGGGAGGCAGCAGUCGGGAAUAUUGCGCAAUGGAGGCAACUCUGACGCAGUGACGCCGCGUAUAGGAAGAAGGUUUUCGGAUUGUAAACUAUUGUCCUCAGGGAAGAAAAAAGACUGUACCUGAGAAGAAAGCUCCGGCUAACUACGUGCCAGCAGCCGCGGUAAUACGUAGGGAGCAAGCGUUAUCCGGAUUUAUUGGGCGUAAAGGGAACGCAGGCGGUCUUUUAAGUCUGAUGUGAAAGCCUUCGGCUUAACCGGAGUAGUGCAUUGGAAACUGGGAGACUUGAGUGCAGAAGA